RNAcentral lists this ribosomal RNA (265 nucleotides) under uncultured bacterium. RNAcentral describes it as "partial 16S ribosomal RNA". It matches the Rfam family "Bacterial small subunit ribosomal RNA", at positions 524 to 787 of the family's 1533-position model. The record is from RNAcentral.
UACAGAGGUGGCAAGCGUUGUUCGGAAUUACUGGGCGUAAAGGGCGCGUAGGCGGCCAUCUAAGUCAGACGUGAAAUCCCCCGGCUUAACCUGGGAACUGCGUCUGAUACUGGACGGCUUGAGUAUGGGAGAGGGAUGUAGAAUUCCAGGUGUAGCGGUGAAAUGCGUAGAUAUCUGGAGGAAUACCGGUGGCGAAGGCGGCAUCCUGGACCAUUACUGACGCUGAGGCGCGAAAGCUAGGGGAGCAAACGGGGAUUAAGAAACC